GAAUGUGUCAGCCUCUGUUAGGGCGAAACUCAAAUACAACUUUCAACAACGGAUCUCUUGGCUCUCGCAUCGAUGAAGAACGCAGCGAAAUGCGAUAAGUAAUGUGAAUUGCAGAAUUCAGUGAAUCAUCGAAUCUUUGAACGCACCUUGCGCUCCUUGGUAUUCCGAGGAGCAUGCCUGUUUGAGUGUCAUGUUAAUAUCAACCCCGUCGGUUUGUUAAUCAGACCGUUGGGUGUUGGACUUGGAGGUUCCUGCUGGCUGCAAAGUCGGCUCCUCUUGAAUGCAUUAGCUUGGGCCUGUUGUGCGUGCUCGCGGUGUAAUAAGUUUUAUUCAUCGUUUGGGUCGUACACCUAUUGGGCUUGCUUCUAACUGUCUUCGGACAAAUAUAACCUUUGACUCUGACCUCAAAUCAGGUAGGACUACCCGCUGAACUUAAGCAUAUCAAUAAGCGGAGGA
Molecule: ribosomal RNA, 456 nt
Filed under: uncultured fungus
Lineage: Eukaryota; Fungi
Description: eukaryotic LSU rRNA
Rfam family: 5.8S ribosomal RNA (bases 38-191)
Source: RNAcentral